Molecule: ribosomal RNA, 495 nt
Filed under: uncultured bacterium
Lineage: Bacteria
Description: partial 16S ribosomal RNA
Rfam family: Bacterial small subunit ribosomal RNA
Source: RNAcentral
GACGAACGCUGGCGGCGUGCCUAAUACAUGCAAGUAGAACGCUGAAGGAGGAGCUUGCUCUUCUGGAUGAGUUGCGAACGGGUGAGUAACGCGUAGGUAACCUGCCUGGUAGCGGGGGAUAACUAUUGGAAACGAUAGCUAAUACCGCAUAACAGUAGAUGUUGCAUGACAUUUACUUAAAAGGUGCAAUUGCAUCACUACCAGAUGGACCUGCGUUGUAUUAGCUAGUUGGUGGGGUAACGGCUCACCAAGGCGACGAUACAUAGCCGACCUGAGAGGGUGAGCGGCCACACUGGGACUGAGACACGGCCCAGACUCCUACGGGAGGCAGCAGUAGGGAAUCUUCGGCAAUAGACGGAAGUCUGACCGAGCAACGCCGCGUGAGUGAAGAAGGUUUUCGGAUCGUAAAGCUCGGUUGUAAGAGAAGAACGAGUGUGAGAGUGGAAAGUUCACACUGUGACGGUAUCUGACCAGAAAGGGACGGCUAACUACGUG